Molecule: ribosomal RNA, 695 nt
Filed under: Pseudomonas sp. AZ18L1
Lineage: Bacteria; Pseudomonadati; Pseudomonadota; Gammaproteobacteria; Pseudomonadales; Pseudomonadaceae
Description: bacterial SSU rRNA
Rfam family: Bacterial small subunit ribosomal RNA
Source: RNAcentral
CUUGCACCUCUUGAGAGCGGCGGACGGGUGAGUAAUGCCUAGGAAUCUGCCUGGUAGUGGGGGAUAACGCUCGGAAACGGACGCUAAUACCGCAUACGUCCUACGGGAGAAAGCAGGGGACCUUCGGGCCUUGCGCUAUCAGAUGAGCCUAGGUCGGAUUAGCUAGUUGGUGAGGUAAUGGCUCACCAAGGCGACGAUCCGUAACUGGUCUGAGAGGAUGAUCAGUCACACUGGAACUGAGACACGGUCCAGACUCCUACGGGAGGCAGCAGUGGGGAAUAUUGGACAAUGGGCGAAAGCCGAUCCAGCCAUGCCGCGUGUGUGAAGAAGGUCUUCGGAUUGUAAAGCACUUUAAGUUGGGAGGAAGGGCAUUAACCUAAUACGUUAGUGUUUUGACGUUACCGACAGAAUAAGCACCGGCUAACUCUGUGCCAGCAGCCGCGGUAAUACAGAGGGUGCAAGCGUUAAUCGGAAUUACUGGGCGUAAAGCGCGCGUAGGUGGUUCGUUAAGUUGGAUGUGAAAUCCCCGGGCUCAACCUGGGAACUGCAUUCAAAACUGUCGAGCUAGAGUAUGGUAGAGGGUGGUGGAAUUUCCUGUGUAGCGGUGAAAUGCGUAGAUAUAGGAAGGAACACCAGUGGCGAAGGCGACCACCUGGACUGAUACUGACACUGAGGUGCGAAAGCGUGGGGAGCAA